RNAcentral lists this ribosomal RNA (501 nucleotides) under uncultured bacterium. Its description in RNAcentral is "partial 16S ribosomal RNA". It matches the Rfam family "Bacterial small subunit ribosomal RNA", at positions 30 to 523 of the family's 1533-position model. The record is from RNAcentral.
AUUGAACGCUGGCGGCAGGCUUAACACAUGCAAGUCGAGCGGAGAUGAGGUGCUUGCACCUUAUCUUAGCGGCGGACGGGUGAGUAAUGCUUAGGAAUCUGCCCAUUAGUGGGGGACAACAUUCCGAAAGGAAUGCUAAUACCGCAUACGUCCUACGGGAGAAAGCAGGGGAUCUUCGGACCUUGCGCUAAUAGAUGAGCCUAAGUCGGAUUAGCUAGUUGGUGGGGUAAAGGCCUACCAAGGCGACGAUCUGUAGCGGGUCUGAGAGGAUGAUCCGCCACACUGGGACUGAGACACGGCCCAGACUCCUACGGGAGGCAGCAGUGGGGAAUAUUGGACAAUGGGGGAAACCCUGAUCCAGCCAUGCCGCGUGUGUGAAGAAGGCCUUAUGGUUGUAAAGCACUUUAAGCGAGGAGGAGGCUACUGAGACUAAUACUCUUGGAUAGUGGACGUUACUCGCAGAAUAAGCACCGGCUAACUCUGUGCCAGCCGCCGCUGUAA